AGUGAACGCUGGCGAUAGGCCUAACACAUGCAAGUCGAACGGCAGCACAGUAAGAGCUUGCUCUUACGGGUGGCGAGUGGCGGACGGGUGAGGAAUACAUCGGAAUCUACUUUUUCGUGGGGGAUAACGUAGGGAAACUUACGCUAAUACCGCAUACGACCUACGGCUGAAAGCAGGGGAUCUUCGGACCUUGCGCGAUUGAAUGAGCCGAUGUCGGAUUAGCUAGUUGGCGGGGUAAAGGCCCACCAAGGCGACGAUCCGUAGCUGGUCUGAGAGGAUGAUCAGCCACACUGGAACUGAGACACGGUCCAGACUCCUACGGGAGGCAGCAGUGGGGAAUAUUGGACAAUGGGCGCAAGCCUGAUCCAGCCAUACCGCGUGGGUGAAGAAGGCCUUCGGGUUGUAAAGCCCUUUUGUUGGCAAAGAAAAGCAGCAGGUUAAUACCCCGCUGUUCUGACGGUACCCAAAGAAUAAGCACCGGCUAACUUCGUG
Molecule: ribosomal RNA, 492 nt
Filed under: uncultured bacterium
Lineage: Bacteria
Description: partial 16S ribosomal RNA
Rfam family: Bacterial small subunit ribosomal RNA
Source: RNAcentral